AUUACAUAAUGGGUUAUUUGCAAGGAUGGUUGGCCGUGAGACGGCUCAGCGCUCCGCAUUCAAGUCUUCCCUCUCAAAUCCACCACCCGGAAUCCACUGCCGUCCGUCCCCUGGGCCUGGCCCACGACGUUGACAGCGGCUCGUAGCGCCCACCUCUCUCAUGGCACAGAAAGGGUGACUAUUUGGCUUGCUGCCGUGGGUCCCACGGGACAGUGAGGGGCUGGGCCAGGCUUCUGUGCUCCACGUGGCAGGAGUAGGGGGCUUGGUCCUCAGAGGGGACCCCCACCACCACCCAGGACUGGCGAUGGCUGUGGAGGCCACAGGAUGAGACAGAAGAAUCCCAAGAUGUAAACGGGCUGGAUCCCAGAGUCAUCCUAUGGAGGAGACUGCCUGAUCUGUCUUCAGUUUUACAUGAGGACGUGUCUGAUCUGUAUUCAACUUCACAUGAGCAAGAAAUAAAUAUCUCAUGGA
Capra hircus (goat) is the source of this 471-nucleotide long non-coding RNA. RefSeq lists it as uncharacterized. The transcript is spliced from 2 exons. The record is from RefSeq and is a predicted model, not a curated record. NCBI's taxonomy places the organism in Eukaryota, Metazoa, Chordata, Mammalia, Artiodactyla, Bovidae.